CCAAACUUUUGAAUGGUAGUGUAUGUGUGGCAGACUCUCGCUUCCCUUCGGCAGCUUCGUGACAGAAAUGGAAUCGACGAGUUUCAGGUUGACGUCAUCUCCAAAAUGAAAGAAAACACAGCUUUAUUAAUGCCAAUAAUAUUGUUGAUGGCGCAUCCUGGUGGAGUCACAGGUCGGUCCAGCUGGUAAUCAUGGAGUCGGAGGUUAUUUCACACAUAAAUAAGGGUCAUGACUCCAAUUUUGGGGCAUAACUGUGUACUAUAAAGCCUUAUAUCAGUGUCCACACAAACUCAAAUCUUGGUUGUCUUUUUUUGCAAGCAGAGGAAAGCUUCUGUUGUUUUAGGACUGUUAGUCCGUCCGUAUAUACAGGGGGUCCUUGACUUCAGUCGGAAUUCUGCUCCUACAGUGCGACAUAGUUAAAUUUUCGCUGUAAGUCGGAACUCACAUCCUGUGAUAUAUGUGGUGUACAACCGGCAAAUGUAAAACAAAGCCGUCCUCCUCGUAUAGCGCCGAAUGUUGAUGUAUUCACCCACUCUGUUCGCCAACUAGUUUCCGUGCGAAAUUAGUUUUAAUGUCGCAAACGGCAUACAGAAGACUUUCUUAAUAAAUUUAUGGAAGAUAGCGACGUAACCACGAAACUCCGUAGGUCGAGGACGUCGUAAACCGAGGACCUGGUGUACAGGUGGCAGAUGCAGGAAAAGUGGCUUUGAACCGCUGAUGAUGACAUCAUGCGCGCUGUUGCACUCUUAAGAUGUGUCCUUCUUCUACAAAGGGAUAAUGAAGCUUGAAUAUCUGUGGACCGUUGAAGUUAAAGGAGAACAUGAUGAAAAAUAAUGAAGAACAAUUUUCUCAUGUGGCAUUUUCUGAACUUUCUGAAGCAACCGUUGAGAAAACAAUACCUCUGAUCACUGCAAGGUUUUCCCGUGGGUGUUCACAAAGCAGCAGCCUGUGAAUGAAGGCAGCAUCACACGUGACACGCCACUCGAUUUCCCUACAAACACACAAUGCCGGGCCGAGUGGGUGUUCGGGGAGCGUGACGGACGAAGCAGCAGGCCGAAGCCGACAGCAGCAGACGGAGAUGAGUGAUGGCUGCAACGGAGGGGUUGUCCAGGGAGGCGAGCGGCGACAUUAAACACCCCUCACACGUGUGCACACACACAUGCACGCAGAAUCUGUAAAGGUUUCCCUCGAGGAUGCUGAAACAACAAACAGGGCUGGUUAUGAGUUUCUCCUGGAGAACAGCGAUGUGUUUCCACAUUGAUUUCUGGGAUUGAACGCGCAGCAAAUCACAGCUCUGAAAGACAACACGGGCUGGAAAUUGACCGAGAAGAAAAUCUCCAGGGACGGAGCGCAAUCUGCGAUGACGUUUGCAAGUGUCCUGGAGUCUAUCACAGCUGGGUGAAGGAUGGAGAAGAUGGAGAACCCAGAGAAAACCCAUCAUGCACAGGGAGAAGAUGCAAACUCCACGCAGAACCCAAGCCGGGAUGCAAACUGGGGAUCGUGAAGGAGAUUUCAGCCUUAAUUGUACUGACCUGUGGCUGUUUAAUUGUUGUUGUUAUACUGCUCAUAGCAAACUUUUUACUCCACCAAGGAACGGCGGAGUUAAGUGACGAUCAGUGUAUGUUUGCCCAUCUGUCUGUUCACAACAUUACUCAAAAAUGGACUAACAGGUUUAGAUGAAGUUUUCAGGGAAGGUCAGAAAUGAGACAAGGACCAAGCAAUUGCAUUUUGGCAGUGAUGCAGAUUAUAGUCUGGAUCCACGGAUUUGUUAAAGAUUUUUGUAUCAUUGUGAGAUAGCGUCACUGUAACUAUGACAACAAGUGAACACUACAUCAGCUACCUGCUGAUGAUCACAUGAUUGUGAUUCUACAACAAAUCCACCGCUGCAGACGUAUCAGGAGUUACACGUUGGAAAUGAUCCAAGGAAUAAUUGAUUAAAUUGUAGGGGUGUUUCUGAGCCCCAUCAAUUCCUGCCUCCCGUUACACAUUUAGGCCACGUACACGUGCAGAACACACGUCUGUGCUCAGUGCAAGGUCAUUUUGUUUGUUGGUACAUCUGCAUUAAAUGGCCACAUUCUAUAGUGACAAGAUUUCAGCCGUCAGAAAUGAUACAACGACUGAGCAGCCGUGGUGGAUUGCUGCGCUCUUUGAGUGCUUUUGUUGUUUUUAAAGCGCUGCUUGUUUUUCUGUACUGUUCUCUUUGGGUGUUUGCAGCUUUGGAUGGUCAAACAUUGAGGAAUUUUGGGCUGCGUGUGGACACAGAAGGCAUGAAUUAAUGAUAAUUCUUGGCCUCAAAUGUAGUGUAAUGUCUUGGCAGUCUAUCCAAUAGUAGAAAACAAAGUACAUAACAUGCUGGUGCUGGAGGAAUCAGGAUGUUCGCCUCACUUGACUAAUUUCGGCCUCAUCUCCAGAAAUCAAUCCUGGUACAUCACCACAAAGGACGUAUCAGUUUUUAAAAUGCACAUCGAGAACAAAAGAUCAGGUGUUUGAUCAAUUGAGGCUUUUCUGACAUAAAAAAGCACAAACUAAAAUGCAAGAUGUGUGUUUAUAAUAUUUAAUGCAAUUCAAGACUUCCUCUGUAAACCUUCCUCCACUGAAUGUUUUAAGAUCUGCAGUGGAAAGUUUGACUGAUGUGACCACAGUGAGUCAGUUUUCAUGUGCUAAUGUUCCUCUGGGAUCCAACCAGACAACACCUUCUUAUUUUAGGAUGUUUAAAAUGCAAAUUGCAGCUCCUCCAAAAGAGCAAAGCCUCCAUGUAUCUCUGCUCCCUCGGGCCUCUUUAACUAGAAGAGGGCGUUGUCUACAGCGGCUUUUGUAUUUUAAACGCCUCUACAGGAGCCUGUUAGCGGACGUGUGUUGCAGCAGCACUGAUGCAGCAUCUUCUCAGAUGACCGUCGGUUUCCUUUAAAUGUCAGGCAGCUGUUAGCGACCGCGCCCUUCUUCCAGCUUCUCCCUGAAUGUCUCAGAUACUCCAGCCUCCUUCCUCCUGACGUCGCUUCUCACUCAUGGCAGCCGGGCAGAUCACAUGGCAGCUCUCUGUUUGUGUUUCUGAGGAGGUUUUCAUGACGGGAGGCUUUAAACCUCUAUUGUUUGAGCUCUGCGGUUCAUUUAAAGGGCAGCAGCAGAUCAGUUCACUGAGCCUGAGGGCAGCCUGGAGGUGAGACGACGCCUGUAAACUCUCUGUAGCACCCUUUUCAUAAAGAGAAUCCAUGAAAUUAUCAUCUGCAGGUAUCAUCAGUCAGGUGGAAAUGAUGGAAAAAUCACUCUGACCUGUCAAAUUUUUCCAGAACCUGCAGUGGCUGAUGCUCAAUUUGGUGAACUUUUUUCCUUCAUCUCACCUCACCGAUUUUAGAUCCUUUAGUCGACUCUUCUGAACAUAUUGUAGUCCCAACCAGCAGAGAUGUGAGACGAGAGGCGUCAUGGCAACAUGCAUUUACCAAAGUGAGACAUCCUGACCUCGUUUAAAGCGACGGAAAUUAAAUAUGACACGUUUCACAGCUGCAUCACUGGUGCUUUGUUUCCUUAUAACUGCAUUUUAUGAUCUCUGUCGGAUGAGCAGAGCAGAAUGUCUUCUGAAUCAGGAAGCUUUGUUGUUUGGUACCAAACAGUGCAACCAGAUUGCCUUGCAACACCUAAAAAACACUCUUUUGCACACCCACAUUUAAUAAAUAAUACGAUAAAAAAAAAACAAUAAUAUAAUAACAUUUUAAGUGAGUCUCAUGUCAAAAUGUGGCAGAAUGUCUCAAAAAGGUACAGAUGUCAUACAUUUCAUAUUUCUUUCCAGACACAGCUGCAGUAUGAAGUGGAAAUGUUCUAGCACACAAAAUAGUAUUAUAUUAUGGUGGCAUUGUGUGCAUAUUGAGUACCGUUUAAAAGUUUGGGGUCACUUAUAAAUGUCCUUAUUUUUGAAAGAGAAGCAGUUUUUUUUCAAUGAAGGUAAUGUUAAAUUAGUCAGAAAUCCAGUCUAGACAUUGUUAAUGUGGUAAAUGAUUAUUAGCUGGAAACGUCUGAUUUUUAAUGGAAUAUCUCCACAGGGGAACAGAGGAACAUUUCCAGCAACCAUCACUCCUGUGUUCUAAUGCUACAUUGUGUUAGCUAAUGGUGUUGAAAGGCUAAAUGAUGAUUAGAAAACCUUUGUGCAAUUAUGUUAGCACAUGAAUGAAAGUGUGAGUUUUCAUGGAAAACAUGAAAUUGUCUGACUGACCCCAAAGUUUUGAACUGUAGUGUAUGAGGCUGUGCCAAGGGAAUACUAAUAAUAACAAUAAAAGCACUCAGAGAGUGCAGUACUCCACCAAGGCUGCUCAGUCAUAUCAUUUCCGACGGAUGGAAUCUUACAAAAAUUUGUGGCAGAAAUCGCGGCCCCAUAGAAUUUAGCCAUUUAAUAUAGAUGUAUUCACUUAUGUAUGGAUACCAAAUCGCUUGGCCUAAAUAUUUAGCAGGCGGCAGGAAUUGAUGGGACUCAGAAACACUCCCACAAUUUAAUCAAUUGUUCCUUGUAUCAUUUCUAAUUGAUAAGUCCCAAUAAGUCCACAAUGGUUGAUUUGUAGAUGGAUCACAAUCAUGUGAUUGUCAGCAGGCAGCUGAUGUAGCAUUCACUUGUUGCCAUAGUUACAGUGUCGCUAUCUGGCAAUGACACAGAAAUAUUUUAUAAAUCCGUGGAUCCAGACUAUAAGCUGCGUCACUGCCAAAAUCUAAUCAGUUGGUCCUAGUGUCAUUUCUGACUUUCCCUGAAAACUUCAUCCAAAUCCGUUUGUCUGUUUUUCAGUGAUGCUGCUAACAGACAGACAGACAGACAGACAAACCAACGCUGAUCAUCACAAAACUCCGCCAAGGCUCCACCUCCUUGGUGGAGUAAUAAGUACGAUAAACCAUGGUACUGAAGCACACAUAAGUGAAUUAUAUGUAGUUAAAGCAAAAUUAACUAAUUUUUGACAGGUGCUUUUGAGAUAUUCCACCAUUUGCAGCCUUCAUUCAACAGUUGCUGCUAAAAUUUGAUCAGAAGUUGCUUCGAUUCUUCAUUUUAAACGUAAAACAAAGUGAAAAGUUCACCAGAUAAAAUCCUGACACAAUAACUACGGCUGAAACCAACAGCUGAUGCAAUGUCACAUCAUCUAUCAGUCACAUGUGAUGCAACCUGUACGAAAUAUUGCCAUAAACUGAGGCUAUUCGGAGGACAAAUGCAGCUUUAAGCGGUUAACUAUUUCUUUUAGCACAGAGAGCACAAAUCACAUCCACGAUCUAUGAAGUGUUUCCUAUCCUGGUAUAAAAUAUGGAAAAUUUUAUGUCUUUUUCACACUAAGUAAACAUUUCUGUUCCUUAAUGUAAUCUGAUCUGUCAAACUUUACCUCAUACUGACAAAACGGAGAAAUUCACUAAGCGACAAGUACUUCUCACUGUUUUAGUUUUGUGAAUGUGCACUAAAUGUCAAUGCAGAAGGAUCCUUGAAGUAUUAUUCACAAUCUGAAGAGAGCCUGGGAGUUGAAUCUUAAAGUCGACAGCAUCGUAUUCAGCUUUGUGCACAUUUUCCCAACCAGCUAUUUCUGUAUCAAAGAAAUUAAUUUGUCUGUGUGAUCCAAAGCAGCAGUGAUGUUAUUUAAGAGACAAAAGAACAUCUCGACUAACUUUUUUCUGACUGAAUCUCUGACAUCCGGCUUUCUGAAUUAGCAUCAGUGUCUGAGUGAGUCAAAUGUUAUGAUUCAGAGUUUGUAGAGGGUCAGAGUCUAUUUCAGUUUGUCUCAGUUCCACCCAGCAGCAGCUGUCUGAGUCACAGCUGUUUGAAAAGUCCCUCUCCAGCUAGCACAAUCCCUCUGCUUCCAACUGAUAAAACCCAACUGGAGAUAUAUUUAUUCAUCUAAACUACGUUUGUCCAUCUACUCAGCAAACCCUGAGAAUAUGGGUCGAUGACAAGCAGGUUUCUGGAGGAGAAAAAUCUGCUAAAACAAACAUUUUUAAAAUGAACUUUGACACAAAUAUCUUACAUUCAGUGUUAAUUAUUAUGUUGGAUGAUCAUGUCUCAUUCAGGAGACAGCGACGGUUUCUGAAUGAGACAUGUCUGCAGCAACUAUUGUCGUUGUCACCUUAGUUUCAUUUCAGAUGAGGGCAAAAGUACUAGAAAAAAAAUUGUGUAUUUCUCUAAAAUUAAAAAAAAAUCACCAGUAAUGGCAAAUAUCUGUAGAAUAAUGAUAUUUUUUUUAAAUGCAAAUGCAGAGAUCUGAGUCAGGAAUUAGAGCUCAACUGGUGGUCAAAGCCAAAUAUAUUUUUAGAUUCUAGAAUAUCUUCAGAUAUCGUGUAAAUUCCUGUUACAACAGGAAACCUUUUUGUUAGAAUAUAUACUACAAACUUUUCAUGGUAUAACAUGAAACUUGUCUUUUUCCAGGGCUGAGAAAUGAAGCCAACACAAAAGUGGUAAAAACUGCAGUUCUUCAAAUGUCCACUAGAGGCUGGUUACAAAGGCGAGUUGAUCCACACAGAUCUCCAUGUUAAAAUGUUCAACUUUAUAGCAGAAAUAAACAUUUUUACAGCAUGGUUAAAAAAAAUACUUUGGUCUCUAUAGCUAAUUUCCCCAUUAAUGACAGCUGUACAGGAGACAAACCUUUAUUUGACUCACUAUUUUAAAUCGCAUUAAGGCUUAAAGUUCUGCAUAUUUCAGGAUGUGGCUGCUUUGAGUGAUGCUCAGAAAGAAACCUGUUGGGGGCAUCAGAAAGUGUUUGUAGAUCAAGAUUUAGUUCAUGUUUUAAUUCGAGAAAAUAUUUUUUAAAAAAAGGCAGUUUCACGAGAGAUAGAGCUUCGAGGUCUGCUUGAGAAUAAAAUACAAACAAAAUAUAACUUAAUUAACCCUCCAGUUAUGUUGCCGAUCAAACUGACUAAUGUUAAAAUUAAAUUUAAAAAAGUUACUUUUUUUUGGCAUGAAACUAUGGAGGUAUUUCAGGUGCAAAAUGUUUGAG
Molecule: long non-coding RNA, 6944 nt
Organism: Acanthochromis polyacanthus (spiny chromis)
Lineage: Eukaryota; Metazoa; Chordata; Actinopteri; Pomacentridae
Exons: 3
Source: RefSeq, a predicted model, not a curated record